GUGGGGAAUCUUCCGCAAUGGACGAAAGUCUGACGGAGCAACGCCGCGUGAGUGAUGAAGGUCUUCGGAUUGUAAAGCUCUGUUAAUCGGGACGAAAGAGCCUAGUGUGAAUAAUGCUAGGAAGUGACGGUACCGGAAUAGAAAGCCACGGCUAACUACGUGCCAGCAGCCGCGGUAAUACGUAGGUGGCAAGCGUUGUCCGGAAUUAUUGGGCGUAAAGAGCGCGCAGGCGGAUCUGCCAGUCUGUCUUAAAAGUUCGGGGCUUAACCCCGUGAUGGGAUGGAAACUACAGAUCUAGAGUAUCGGAGAGGAAAGUGGAAUUCCUAGUGUAGCGGUGAAAUGCGUAGAUAUUAGGAAGAACACCAGUGGCGAAGGCGACUUUCUGGACGAAAACUGACGCUGAGGCGCGAAAGCCAGGGGAGCGAACGGGAUUAGAUACCCGAGUAGUCC
RNAcentral lists this ribosomal RNA (450 nucleotides) under uncultured bacterium. RNAcentral describes it as "partial 16S ribosomal RNA". It matches the Rfam family "Bacterial small subunit ribosomal RNA", at positions 354 to 796 of the family's 1533-position model. The record is from RNAcentral.